GGACGUCCGAGUACGGGACUACUUCCUCCGUUGAUAACGACCGCCUCGCUAGGGUUGCUGACAAACAAAAAAAGCUAGCCCGCGACAGGACAGGAUCGUAUCCUGGUUUCCCAUCUAGAGCAGGGCGAGCGCGGCGCGUUCCUGCGCUCGUCUCUUCCUCGAGGAUGGCUGCGCGAGCUUCAGGCCAAAAUCCUCCUGUGCCGGAUCAGACUGCAGAGGCAGGGGGGACACACAGGCCGCGAACCCUACUGCCGACGGUGGGCAUGGUUCGACAGGAGCACAGGCUCAGGUUCGUAAUGGUGGUUCUGGUGGUGGGACUAGCAGAGGAGGUUCCGGCUAUGGUCCUAGUCGCGGAGGCGGCGGUUACCAGGGAUACAUGAACUUUGGACACAAUUGGAACGACAGUUUUGGAGGUCCAGG
RNAcentral lists this long non-coding RNA (420 nucleotides) under Hordeum vulgare. RNAcentral describes it as "long non-coding RNA (HVUL_LNC008021)". The record is from RNAcentral. Lineage: Eukaryota; Viridiplantae; Streptophyta; Magnoliopsida; Poales; Poaceae.